Molecule: ribosomal RNA, 482 nt
Filed under: uncultured bacterium
Lineage: Bacteria
Description: bacterial SSU rRNA
Rfam family: Bacterial small subunit ribosomal RNA
Source: RNAcentral
UUGAACGCUGGCGGCAGGCCUAACACAUGCAAGUCGAGCGGAUGAGAGGAGCUUGCUCCUUGAUUCAGCGGCGGACGGGUGAGUAAUGCCUAGGAAUCUGCCUAUUAGUGGGGGACAACGUUUCGAAAGGAACGCUAAUACCGCAUACGUCCUACGGGAGAAAGCAGGGGACCUUCGGGCCUUGCGCUAAUAGAUGAGCCUAGGUCGGAUUAGCUAGUUGGUGAGGUAAUGGCUCACCAAGGCGACGAUCCGUAACUGGUCUGAGAGGAUGAUCAGUCACACUGGAACUGAGACACGGUCCAGACUCCUACGGGAGGCAGCAGUGGGGAAUAUUGGACAAUGGGCGAAAGCCUGAUCCAGCCAUGCCGCGUGUGUGAAGAAGGUCUUCGGACUGUAAAGCACUUUAAGUUGGGAGGAAGGGUUGUAGAUUAAUACUCUGCAAUUUUGACGUUACCGACAGAAUAAGCACCGGCUAACUCUGU